UACGAAGGGUGCAAGCGUUACUCGGAAUUACUGGGCGUAAAGCGUGCGUAGGCGGUUUGUUAAGUCCGUUGUGAAAGCCCUGGGCUCAACCUGGGAAUUGCAGUGGAUACUGGCAAGCUAGAGUGCGGUAGAGGAUGGUGGAAUUCCCGGUGUAGCGGUGAAAUGCGUAGAGAUCGGGAGGAACACCCGUGGCGAAGGCGGCCAUCUGGACCAGCACUGACGCUGAGGCACGAAAGCGUGGGGAGCAAACAGG
RNAcentral lists this ribosomal RNA (253 nucleotides) under uncultured bacterium. RNAcentral's name for it is "partial 16S ribosomal RNA". It matches the Rfam family "Bacterial small subunit ribosomal RNA", at positions 524 to 776 of the family's 1533-position model. The record is from RNAcentral.